This 388-nucleotide ribosomal RNA is filed under the name uncultured bacterium. RNAcentral's name for it is "bacterial SSU rRNA". It matches the Rfam family "Bacterial small subunit ribosomal RNA", at positions 28 to 417 of the family's 1533-position model. The record is from RNAcentral.
GACGAACGCUGGCGGCGUGCUUAACACAUGCAGGUCGAGCGGUAAGGCCCUUUCGGGGGUACACGAGCGGCGAACGGGUGAGUAACACGUGGGUGACCUGCCCUCAGCUCUGGGAUAAGCCUGGGAAACUGGGUCUAAUACUGGAUAUGACUCCACGGUGCAUGUCGUGGGGUGGAAAGCCUUGUGCGGCUGAGGAUGGGCCCGCGGCCUAUCAGCUUGUUGGUGGGGUGANGGCCUACCAAGGCGACGACGGGUAGCCGGCCUGAGAGGGCGACCGGCCACACUGGGACUGAGACACGGCCCAGACUCCUACGGGAGGCAGCAGUGGGGAAUCUUGCGCAAUGGGCGAAAGCCUGACGCAGCGACGCCGCGUGAGGGAUGACGGCCU